RNAcentral lists this ribosomal RNA (349 nucleotides) under uncultured bacterium. RNAcentral's name for it is "partial 16S ribosomal RNA". It matches the Rfam family "Bacterial small subunit ribosomal RNA", at positions 338 to 698 of the family's 1533-position model. The record is from RNAcentral.
CCUACGGGUGGCAGCAGUCGAGAAUCAUUCACAAUGGGCGAAACUCUGAUGGUGCGACGCCGCGUGGGGGAAUGAAGGUCUUUGGAUUGUAAACCCCUGUCAUAUGGGAGCAAAUUAAAAAGCUAGUACCACAAGAGGAAGAGACGGCUAACUCUGUGCCAGCAGCCGCGGUAAUACAGAGGUCUCAAGCGUUAUUCGGUAUGACUGGGCGGAAAGGGUGGGUAGGCUGUUGCGUAAGUCGUGUGUGAAAGGCGCGGGCUCAACCCGCGGAUGGCACAUGAUACUGCGAGGCUAGAGUAAUGGUGGGGGAACCGGAAUGCUCGGUGUAGCAGUGAAAUGCGUAGAUAUC